This 687-nucleotide small RNA is filed under the name Pongo abelii (Sumatran orangutan). RNAcentral's name for it is "processed transcript". Lineage: Eukaryota; Metazoa; Chordata; Mammalia; Primates; Hominidae. The record is from RNAcentral.
AGAUCUGGUGUCUCCAGUUUACAGAAGCACUUGCAGAACUCAUCAGAAGCCACCCCGCUUAUCAGCAGAUCUCAAGAGAUCGUUCGGUGGAGGUCCUGGGUCUACACAGCUCACCCUGGGAACUGCUCGCCUGAGCGUCGGAGCCGGCGCUGGCCCCCUGCAGCCGGAAGGUUGCAGCCGCAGGAGCCCCGGAGGCCCAGGACAUAGGGUGAAUAUGCAGGUUUUGAUGAGACGCAGCCAACAGCCGAAUCUGGUGGAAAAGGAAAAGUGAUCAAACUUUUAAAGGAAAAAUUUCAUUUUAAGAAAAUAAUCAUGAUUGGAGAUGGAGCCACAGACAUGGAAGCCUGUCCUCCUGCUGAUGCUUUCAUUGGAUUUGGAGGAAAUGUGAUCAGGCAACAAGUCAAGGAUAACGCCAAAUGGUAUAUCACUGAUUUUGUAGAGCUGCUGGGAGAACUGGAAGAAUAACAUCCAUUGUCGUACAGCUCCAAACAACUUCAGAUGAAUUUUUACAAGUUACACAGAUUGAUACUGUUUGCUUACAAUUGCCUAUUACAACUUGCUAUAGAAAGUUGGUACAGAUGAUCUGUACUUUAAACUACAGUUAGGACUCCUAGAAGAUUGCUUUUUUUUUUUUUAUCUAUAGUUCCAGUAUUAUAUGAUGACUAUUGAUUUCCUGGAGAGGUUUUU